Non-coding RNA from Paramormyrops kingsleyae, 472 nucleotides. NCBI's taxonomy places the organism in Eukaryota, Metazoa, Chordata, Actinopteri, Osteoglossiformes, Mormyridae. The record is from the annotation of a RefSeq genome assembly.
CUGAAAGUCCUGCCCCCCUCCAGUGUGGAGGUGUCCAGCAAGAACACGGCCACCCUGAUGUGNCUGGCCAACAAGGGCUUCCCCUCCGACUGGAAGCUGAGCUGGAAGGUGGACGGUAACAGCAAAGCCGCGGAGACGAGCCGCGGGCUCCUGGAGAAGGACGGCCUGUACAGCUGGAGCAGCAGCCUGAGCCUCACUGCGGACGAGUGGAAGAAGGCGGGCUCAGUGGUCUGUGAGGCCCAUCAGGGCUGCCAGGCUCCUGUCACUCAAACGCUGAAGCGCGCCGACUGUUCAGAAUAGAUGAGAUCAGCGUCACCUGUGAUGAGCGGCUGAUUACUGUGUUUUUACUGUGCUGUGCUACACGCUUCUGAUUUACUAACUGAAUAUAUAUUGUGCUUUGCUUGAUCCAUGAGUGAAUAUCUUAACUGAUAUUUUAUUAGUUUUGGUGUUUCCUUGUAUUAUCUUGUGUGUU